Long non-coding RNA from Numida meleagris (helmeted guineafowl), 4935 nucleotides. RefSeq lists it as uncharacterized. The transcript has 2 exons. The record is from RefSeq and is a predicted model, not a curated record. Lineage: Eukaryota; Metazoa; Chordata; Aves; Galliformes; Numididae.
CAGAGAAACAAUUAACAAAGGGGCCGAGGACCCACACAAUUAAACCCAAAAGAGGGAGAAGAGGCUUUGUUCGGGUCGCCAUGGCAACAGCCAGCCCGGAGUAGCAGCCACGGACUUUCACUUUCCGUUCCUUCCUGGCGGUGGCCCUGGGGGCCCUCUCCACUGGGUGCCGGUGCCCGCUGCGGUCCCCUGGCUCUGGUGUCACCCCCAGAGCACCGCCAGGACCCACAGAACAUCCCCGGGACCCACGGAGCAGCCCCAGAAUCCAUGGAGCAUCACCAAGAUCCACGGACCAGCCCUCGGACCCACGGAGCAUCACCAGGAUCCCAGGACCCACAUGGCAUCCUCAGGACCACGGGCACACGAUGGAUGUGAUGGUGCAGAGAUGGUCCCCACUCCUCCAGAGGGGCUCACGUGGUGCCCCCAUCUCCCCCCACCUGGCCACAUCCAGGCUCACAACCAGAGGUAACCGGGUUCCCCUCGCAGCAUUCUGCUUUCCUCAGCAGAAGGAAGCCGGGACAAUGGGUGGAGGGACCAGGAAAGCUGGUGGGGGCAAAGAUCCCACUGCCGCCAGCACAGGGGGCACGGAGGGGAAAGGCACGGCCAGCACUUGCCUUCCUUUUCCCAAGCCCCCCCACCCCAUCAUGCAACCUAUGGGGCCUCUGGCCACGGCAGUGAUGCCUCCUGCUUUGUGCUGGCUGCAAGUCCCGGCCUCCAGAUCGCAGGAUGCUGUUGCCUGAGUCAUGGAAAUGGUUCAGACAAUGGCUUGGCCCCUUUAUAACUGGCCAAAGGGGGCAAAGCAGGGAGAACAAAUCCGACCUUGCUUCCUGCACGGAAGUGGGCCCAUUGUUUGGGAAUGGGCAUGUGCUUUGCUCCUCACCAGCCUGGGAAAGCUGCAGAGCAACUGCGAGCAGGGAGUGAGCUACACAGCUCCCCAUCCUUGCAGGAAUCUAGGCCGGGCUGCUGCCACUGCCCUCGGCAGGACCCGGACCACUGCCCCAAAAGUCCCUUGCACAGCCAAGGGAUGCACAUGUACCAUGGGCUUGCAUUGUGCGGCCGUGCGCACACACACAGGCAGGCAGACACACAUCUGCAGCCCAUUAAAGCCAAGCUGAUACGACAAUGCUAAUAGAGAAGCUCAAACUCUCUCGAAACUCAGCGGCAGCUCCGGGGCUGUCCUCGCUUCACCCCUUUGCACUCACAUCUUGCGGGCCGCAGGGACGUGGCACACCAGGGGUGCCCUGCAGCCAGAGUGGGCAGUGCUGUGACACAGCCAGCCCUGCCCACAGCACCCAGCUGCCACCACCAUGGGAGCACUCUGCUCUCCUCAGUGCUGACAGCGCUGGUACCAGUGGGGGGACAGCAGAUUUCUGCUCCCAUGCUCUCUGGACCAGGGGCCACCAUUCAGCCAUGGGCAGCUCGGUGUCAAGAUCCCAUCCCACCUUCAUGUUCCCCAUGUGUUGGCUUCCCCUGCAUCUGCCUCCAGGCACAGCGCUGCUUUCCAGCCCCAGACCGGGUUCGGGGCUGAGAUUGGGAACACAGAAUCACAGAAUCAUCGAAUAUCCCGACUUGGAAGGGACCCAUCAGGAUCAUCGAGUCCAAUGUGGGCACUGGGGGGUGACAGCUGUGACAAAGGGGCCCAAACCCCUCCUCCUCCUCCUCCUCCCUCUGCUCCUCACAGCAGGGCUCUGAGCAGAGCUGCAGGAAUCAACCUGCUGACUGUCCCCACCCAAACCCCACCAUUCUCCCGAGGCGCUGGGAGCUCCAUGCUGCCUUCCUCCCCGGCACUGACCCUGCUCUGCUCCUGCAGGGAGCCCGCCCGCAGCCUCGCAGCCUCUAAUCUGGCCGUAAUAAAACCAAGAUGCUCCGGGAUCGCUCUGCGGGGAGAACAGCUCCGCCAGCGCUCGACCGAAGGGAAAACACGAAAUAAAACCAAAGUAAAAUCGAGGAAAUUGUGGUCCUGCAGGAAAGCAGAGCUGGCAGGGGCAAAGGGCUGAAGGCGCAGGUGAACCUCAGCCGGUGCACGAGCAGAAAGAGCUGGGCAGAAAGAAGGGCAAGGCUCCCUCCUGGCAGGCUAAAAUCCCAGCUCUCACUGUGCCCUGGACCCCGACCACGGGUGACUUUUGCUGGCGUUUGCCCAUGCAGGUGCAGAGAGGGGCAGUCCCCACCUGGGCACGGGGUCGGAGCACAGACACCGUCCCAGGGUUCAGGUGUCAGAAAGCCCCCAGCACUCUCCAGCUGCCCGAAAUCCUGUCACAUUGGCACCGCCAAAAGACACGGGGAGCCCCGCUGCUUCCAAAUGCAUUGCAGCUACGAGCAGCCAAAGCACCACAGGCAGGAGGACAGAGCUGCAGCUGUGAGCAUCCCGGCUCUGGGGGGGCUCCUGCCCAUCACCACCCCCCUGUCCAUCACUACCAGCUCUGGGUGCUGUGACUGUCACCAUCUGACCAACCCCGGGUACCCACCACACCCCCCUGAGCGCCAACAGAACUCCAGCUCCAAACUGGGAUUGGACGGGGAGAGCAAACCACGGCGGGGACACAUCUCUGCCACUCUGUUCCCAACCUGAACGCCUCUGUUUGGGUUUCAUCCAGGUGCCAAGGAUUGUCCCCACCCGGAGCACAGCCGCCCCAUGGCUACAGCGAGCCACACACGGCAGGCUGCCGAUCUCCAGGGGGAAGGCCGUGGGGUGGGGUGGGGAGCACGCAGCCAUCCUGGCAGCCUGACACUGGGCACAGGGUGAUGCUGAGCAGGACGCACUGCAGAACUGCAGGGGGUGGGAGGGGGUGCCAGGACCACCCAGCGGGCGGGCAGGGGCCGGGGGCAGCGCGGUGGCACAGCCACAUCCCCAGGCUCCCUGCUGCCACCCGGGAUGCCGUGCUGGGGGCCGAGCCCGUCGGCUCUGGUUCAAAGGCAGCCACGGGCUCCGGGGCCUUGCGCUCCCAGUCGGGCUCCAGUGGGAGCUCGGCACCGCCUGUGCCACCCACCGCCCACCGGCCGGACCCUCCAGCGCAGCGACAGAGGGGCUUUUCUUGUCCCCCCCCUUUGUUUUCUAUUUAGUGCUUUUGUUCUCCUCUCUUUGGUCCUUUGUUCCAGCUUGUCCUUUGUUCCAACGCCUUUGGUUUCUCGUCCCUUUGAUGCUUUGUCACUCCCUUCAUCUUGGAGCUUUUCUUUUCCCCGGGUUUUGAAGCUGGCGGUUGUUUUCUGUCCCCGCUCUGUGCUUGGCAUUUUUAUCCUUUCUCCUGCCUCGUCCACUCUUGGGUCACAUGGGCCCGGCCCGGAUUGUCUUCAAAUCCCCAUUUGUCUUGUGUCGGUGCCCGGGUUUCCCUGCCUUUAUGUCCUUUCUUAAGAGACUCUCAGCGAUUUUCUCUCCUCGCUGAGGGAAGCGGGGGGGGGGGAUCGGGCUUAAUUAAUGACUCCGCGUAAUCUUUAGACGUGCGGCACCGCAGGAUGCGCGGAGCGUCGGUCCUUACUAAUCGUUAUUAUUGUGAUCGGGACGCGAAGGGUUAGCGAGGGUUUCGACACCAGCUAAUUGCAGCACGGAGCUCCGGCUUGGCGGAACGGCGUCGGGAAGAGGCAGGGUUGGGAGAGGAGCGGCACGGCCACGCCGCUGCUCGGGAGGAGGCUGAGCAAAGACGCGGCCCAACGGGGCUUUAAUUUUGUGAGAGCGCUGCAGCACAGCGCCUCGAGACGCCGCUCGCAGCACAAACACGACCACAAAAUCAGAUACGGGGCGGUCAGGAUCAGGGAACCGUUUUUUCCUCCGAGCGCGACGCCGUUGCUUUGCUCUGAUUUAGCGCCCCAAAUAUUUCAUCCCCCCCACCCCCGCCCCGGGGACCUCGGUGAGGCCGAUCCCACCGGGAUCUGUAGGGCACAACCCCGCUCGCUGCAGCAUCGCAAGGGCUCGCUGUGCAACCAGGGGUCCCCCCCCCCCCCCAUGCCAUCCCCAGAACACACGUUUAAACAUCUGUAUCUGACUGCAGCAACAGCUGUUAACCGGAGGAAGCAGCCAAACUUAGCAACAGGAUGUACCCUCAGAUAACAUGAUCGAUAUCAGGAGUGCAGCUUUACAAGCGAGCGCCGGAGCCCAGCUGCUAAGCUGGGUGUCAGGAGAUCGGCACCGAUACCGGCUCGCUCUGACGCCGUCUUCGCGACGCCCCGAGUUCUCCUCCCUCGAGUCACUUGGGGGACCUCAGUGACGUCCCCAUGGUUUGCGGUGGCGUGGCAGGACCUCUCGGGGGGGGGGGGGACAUCACCCCAUGGCCGAGCAGAUGGGGUGCUGCGGGCUGGGUGCUUUGACAUCGGGCCCUGCAGUGACAGCCCUACGCUGACGAUGGAUGCCGCUGUGACCCCGGUCCGGCAGCAGCAGGGCCAGGGGCGCAACCUGGGAGGCUUUGCAGAAGGGUUUUGCAGGAGAGAGCGGGACCAAAAACGCGCAGCAGCUCCACCAAAAGCCACAAACCCUCCUGACAAGGCUGGGAGAAGCCGUCUGAUGGGUGCCCUGAUGCCUGCAGAGCCGUGAUGCUGCAGGCUGACCCCCAAAGCGGUGCCAUCACCAUACCGGGCGCCUCUUCCAUGGCCACGGAGCUGGGGACGGGACACAUCCCAGCCUAGUAAGUCUCACGUCCCUCCCAGCAAACAUCAGAUGUCUCAACCUCCAGCGCUCUGUUACAACGGCAGCCAGGAAAAGCCAUCGUUCUGGUCUGCCCGGUUCUGCUUUCAGGCUGGUGAGCACACUCGGGGCUGAUAAACGCUGGACGUGAGCCAUCCAACAUCCAACAUCAUUGGGUGCUCACUCCGGGGGUGCCGAGCCACGCAGCCACGCUCAGCGCUCUCAGAUGUUCCAGCAGCACUGCAGCCCCGCUGCGAGGUCCGUGCCGCCCGCGGCUCUCAGAAGGGCCCAACCUGCUUUUACGACAGAGCUGGCACCGGGAA